Molecule: ribosomal RNA, 648 nt
Filed under: Kocuria sp. AMi16
Lineage: Bacteria; Bacillati; Actinomycetota; Actinomycetes; Micrococcales; Micrococcaceae
Description: bacterial SSU rRNA
Rfam family: Bacterial small subunit ribosomal RNA
Source: RNAcentral
CUGCAUGGUGGCGUGUGGAAAGGGUUUUACUGGUUUUGGAUGGGCUCACGGCCUAUCAGCUUGUUGGUGGGGUAAUGGCUCACCAAGGCGACGACGGGUAGCCGNCNUGAGAGGGUGACCGGCCACACUGGGACUGAGACACGGCCCAGACUCCUACGGGAGGCAGCAGUGGGGAAUAUUGCACAAUGGGCGAAAGCCUGAUGCAGCGACGCCGCGUGAGGGAUGACGGCCUUCGGGUUGUAAACCUCUUUCAGCACGGAAGAAGCGAGAGUGACGGUACGUGCAGAAGAAGCGCCGGCUAACUACGUGCCAGCAGCCGCGGUAAUACGUAGGGCGCAAGCGUUGUCCGGAAUUAUUGGGCGUAAAGAGCUCGUAGGCGGUUUGUCGCGUCUGCUGUGAAAGCCCGGGGCUUAACCCCGGGUGUGCAGUGGGUACGGGCAGACUUGAGUGCAGUAGGGGAGACUGGAAUUCCUGGUGUAGCGGUGAAAUGCGCAGAUAUCAGGAAGAACACCGAUGGCGAAGGCAGGUCUCUGGGCUGUUACUGACGCUGAGGAGCGAAAGCAUGGGGAGCGAACAGGAUUAGAUACCCUGGUAGUCCAUGCCGUAAACGUUGGGCACUAGGUGUGGGGGACAUUCCACGUUUUCCGC